CACUCCUGCGGGAGGCAGCAGUGGGGAAUAUUGCACAAUGGGCGCAAGCCUGAUGCAGCCAUGCCGCGUGUGUGAAGAAGGCCUUCGGGUUGUAAAGCACUUUCAGCGGGGAGGAAGGCAAUGCGGUUAAUAACCGUGUUGAUUGACGUUACCCGCAGAAGAAGCACCGGCUAACUCCGUGCCAGCAGCCGCGGUAAUACGGAGGGUGCAAGCGUUAAUCGGAAUUACUGGGCGUAAAGCGCACGCAGGCGGUCUGUCAAGUCGGAUGUGAAAUCCCCGGGCUCAACCUGGGAACUGCAUUCGAAACUGGCAGGCUUGAGUCUUGUAGAGGGGGGUAGAAUUCCAGGUGUAGCGGUGAAAUGCGUAGAGAUCUGGAGGAAUACCGGUGGCGAAGGCGGCCCCCUGGACAAAGACUGACGCUCAGGUGCGAAAGCGUGGGGAGCAAACAGGAUUAGAAACCCUGGUAGUCCCAU
This 473-nucleotide ribosomal RNA is filed under the name uncultured organism. RNAcentral's name for it is "partial 16S ribosomal RNA". It matches the Rfam family "Bacterial small subunit ribosomal RNA", at positions 334 to 798 of the family's 1533-position model. The record is from RNAcentral.